CAGUCAUACCAACGGGAAAUCAACCUUUUGAGCUCGGUCUCGUGGGUUUUGAAGAGUUUCAAAGCCUUCGGAUUCGCGGGAUUGGGAUCUCUCGGUGUACUUUUUCGUACGGUUAGUCAACAUCGGUUUUGAAUGCCAUAAAAUGACUGGAGGAAUGUAGCUUCGAUCUCGUAUUGAAGUGUUAUAGCCUCUGGUAGAUGUGAUGUUUGAGACCGAGGAUUGCAACGGAUACCCUUCAGGGCUAUUCGUCUGAUCUCUGAUACGUUGCCCUGAUGUUGAAAGCUUGCUUAUGAUGUUAGGGUAUUACGGUCAAAAGGUUAGAACGAAUUACA
This 332-nucleotide ribosomal RNA is filed under the name uncultured Glomeraceae. Its description in RNAcentral is "partial large subunit ribosomal RNA". Lineage: Eukaryota; Fungi; Glomeromycota; Glomeromycetes; Glomerales; Glomeraceae. The record is from RNAcentral.